RNAcentral lists this ribosomal RNA (253 nucleotides) under uncultured bacterium. RNAcentral's name for it is "partial 16S ribosomal RNA". It matches the Rfam family "Bacterial small subunit ribosomal RNA", at positions 524 to 776 of the family's 1533-position model. RNAcentral also lists the same sequence under 1 other name. The record is from RNAcentral.
UACGAAGGGGGCUAGCGUUGCUCGGAAUCACUGGGCGUAAAGCGCACGUAGGCGGACUCUUAAGUCAGGGGUGAAAUCCUGGAGCUCAACUCCAGAACUGCCUUUGAUACUGGGAGUCUUGAGUUCGGGAGAGGUGAGUGGAACUGCGAGUGUAGAGGUGAAAUUCGUAGAUAUUCGCAAGAACACCAGUGGCGAAGGCGGCUCACUGGCCCGAUACUGACGCUGAGGUGCGAAAGCGUGGGGAGCAAACAGG